This 474-nucleotide ribosomal RNA is filed under the name Triticum aestivum (bread wheat). RNAcentral's name for it is "partial small subunit ribosomal RNA". The record is from RNAcentral. Lineage: Eukaryota; Viridiplantae; Streptophyta; Magnoliopsida; Poales; Poaceae.
AUGGAUAAGAUUCACAGGAAUUUCUUAUGGUGUUCAAGGACCGAUGGUGACAAGGGCAUGGCUCUUGUCAACUGGAGCACGGUCUGUCGCCCUAAAAAGCUGGGCGGCCUAGGGGUGUUGUACCUAAAUCGCUUUGGGAGAGCUCUCCAUCUCAGGUGGAAAUGGCGAGACUGGACUGAUAAGGAUCGCCCCUGGGCUGGCACGAAAAUCCCUUGUGACAAGGAUGAUCUGGCUCUCUUCUCGGCUUCUACCUCAGUGGUCAUUGGGAAUGGUCAUACUGCCAAUUUUUGGUAUGAUAGAUGGUUGGAUGGGCACGUGCCUAGGCUUCUUGCACCAGAUAUCUUCAAGCUCUCCUCUCGCAAGAAUAUCUCCGUACAUGAUGCCAUUUCAGAUAACAGGUGGAUGCGGGGCCUCCACCGGAUUUGUGAAAAUACUGAGAUACGUCAGUUCUCUUACCUUUGGAGCAAAGUGUAG